UACGUAGGGGCCGAGCGUUGUCCGGAGUUAUUGGGCGUAAAGCGCGCGCAGGCGGCCUCGCGCGCCCGACGUGAAAGCCCCCGGCUUAACCGGGGAGGGUCGUUGGGGACGGCGGGGCUUGAGUACCGGAGAGGAUGGCGGAAUUCCCCAAGUAGAGGUGAAAUUCGUAGAUAUGGGGAGGAACACCGGUGGCGAAGGCGGCCAUCUGGACGGAUACUGACGCUGAGACGCGAAAGCGUGGGGAGCAAACAGG
RNAcentral lists this ribosomal RNA (253 nucleotides) under uncultured bacterium. RNAcentral's name for it is "partial 16S ribosomal RNA". It matches the Rfam family "Bacterial small subunit ribosomal RNA", at positions 524 to 776 of the family's 1533-position model. The record is from RNAcentral.